UGAACGCUGGCGGCAGGCCUAACACAUGCAAGUCGAGCGGAUGAAGAGAGCUUGCUCUCUGAUUCAGCGGCGGACGGGUGAGUAAUGCCUGGGAAUCUGCCUGAUAGUGGGGGACAACAGUUGGAAACGGCUGCUAAUACCGCAUACGUCCUACGGGAGAAAGCAGGGGAUCUUCGGACCUUGCGCUAUCAGAUGAGCCCAGGUCGGAUUAGCUAGUAGGUGGGGUAAAGGCUCACCUAGGCGACGAUCCGUAACUGGUCUGAGAGGAUGAUCAGUCACACUGGAACUGAGACACGGUCCAGACUCCUACGGGAGGCAGCAGUGGGGAAUAUUGGACAAUGGGCGAAAGCCUGAUCCAGCCAUGCCGCGUGUGUGAAGAAGGUCUUCGGAUUGUAAAGCACUUUAAGUUGGGAGGAAGGGCUGUAGGCUAAUAUCCUGCAGCUUUGACGUUACCGACAGAAUAAGCACCGGCUAACUCUGUGCCAGCAGCCGCGGUAAUACAGAGGGUGCAAGCGUUAAUCGGAAUUACUGGGCGUAAAGCGCGCGUAGGUGGCUAAGCAAGAUGGGUGUGAAAUCCCCGGGCUCAACCUGGGAACUGCUUUCAUAACUGCUUGGCUAGAGUACGGUAGAGGGUAGUGGAAUUUCCUGUGGUAGCGGUGAAAUGCGUAGAUAUAGGAAGG
Molecule: ribosomal RNA, 680 nt
Filed under: uncultured bacterium
Lineage: Bacteria
Description: bacterial SSU rRNA
Rfam family: Bacterial small subunit ribosomal RNA
Source: RNAcentral